CAGUAGGGAAUCUUCGGCAAUGGGGGCAACCCUGACCGAGCAACGCCGCGUGAGUGAAGAAGAUCUUCGGAUCGUAAAACUCUGUUGUUAGAGAAGAACACGAGUGAGAGUAACUGUUCAUUCGAUGACGGUAUCUAACCAGCAAGUCACGGCUAACUACGUGCCAG
This 167-nucleotide ribosomal RNA is filed under the name uncultured bacterium. RNAcentral describes it as "partial 16S rRNA". It matches the Rfam family "Bacterial small subunit ribosomal RNA", at positions 352 to 511 of the family's 1533-position model. The record is from RNAcentral.